Non-coding RNA from Chiloscyllium plagiosum (whitespotted bambooshark), 169 nucleotides. The record is from RefSeq and is a predicted model, not a curated record. Lineage: Eukaryota; Metazoa; Chordata; Chondrichthyes; Orectolobiformes; Hemiscylliidae.
UAGACAUCGGUGUCAGAUAUCGGUGACAGAUAUCAGUGUGAGGUUAGACAUCGGUGUCAGAUAUCGGUGUGAGGUUAGACAUCGGUGUCAGAUAUCGGUGUGAGGUUAGACAUCGGUGUCAGAUAUCGGUGUGAGAUUAGACAUCGGUGUCAGAUAUCAGUGUGAGGUU